GACGAACGCUGGCGGCGUGCUUAACACAUGCAAGUCGAACGGAAAGGCCCUGCUUUUGUGGGGUGCUCGAGUGGCGAACGGGUGAGUAACACGUGAGUAACCUGCCCUUGACUUUGGGAUAACUUCAGGAAACUGGGGCUAAUACCGGAUAGGAGCUCCUGCUGCAUGGUGGGGGUUGGAAAGUUUCGGCGGUUGGGGAUGGACUCGCGGCUUAUCAGCUUGUUGGUGGGGUAGUGGCUUACCAAGGCUUUGACGGGUAGCCGGCCUGAGAGGGUGACCGGCCACAUUGGGACUGAGAUACGGACCAGACUCCUACGGGAGGCAGCAGUGGAGAAUAUUGCACAAUGGGCGGAAGCCUGAUGCAGCAACGCCGCGUGCGGGAUGACGGCCUUCGGGUUGUAAACCGCUUUCGCCUGUGACGAAGCGUGAGUGACGGUAAUGGGUAAAGAAGCAACGGCUAACUACGUG
This 468-nucleotide ribosomal RNA is filed under the name uncultured bacterium. Its description in RNAcentral is "partial 16S ribosomal RNA". It matches the Rfam family "Bacterial small subunit ribosomal RNA", at positions 28 to 507 of the family's 1533-position model. The record is from RNAcentral.